This 640-nucleotide ribosomal RNA is filed under the name Edwardsiella tarda. Its description in RNAcentral is "bacterial SSU rRNA". It matches the Rfam family "Bacterial small subunit ribosomal RNA", at positions 798 to 1439 of the family's 1533-position model. The record is from RNAcentral. Lineage: Bacteria; Pseudomonadati; Pseudomonadota; Gammaproteobacteria; Enterobacterales; Hafniaceae.
GGCCGUUACGAUGUCGAUUUGGAGGUUGUGCCCUUGAGGCGUGGCUUCCGAAGCUAACGCGUUAAAUCGACCGCCUGGGGAGUACGGCCGCAAGGUUAAAACUCAAAUGAAUUGACGGGGGCCCGCACAAGCGGUGGAGCAUGUGGUUUAAUUCGAUGCAACGCGAAGAACCUUACCUACUCUUGACAUCCAGCGAAUCCUGUAGAGAUACGGGAGUGCCUUCGGGAACGCUGAGACAGGUGCUGCAUGGCUGUCGUCAGCUCGUGUUGUGAAAUGUUGGGUUAAGUCCCGCAACGAGCGCAACCCUUAUCCUUUGUUGCCAGCGGUUCGGCCGGGAACUCAAAGGAGACUGCCAGUGAUAAACUGGAGGAAGGUGGGGAUGACGUCAAGUCAUCAUGGCCCUUACGAGUAGGGCUACACACGUGCUACAAUGGCGUAUACAAAGAGAAGCGAACUCGCGAGAGCAAGCGGACCUCAUAAAGUACGUCGUAGUCCGGAUUGGAGUCUGCAACUCGACUCCAUGAAGUCGGAAUCGCUAGUAAUCGUGGAUCAGAAUGCCACGGUGAAUACGUUCCCGGGCCUUGUACACACCGCCCGUCACACCAUGGGAGUGGGUUGCAAAAGAAGUAGGUAGCUUAAC